RNAcentral lists this transfer RNA (71 nucleotides) under Cordylochernes scorpioides. RNAcentral describes it as "tRNA-Gly". Lineage: Eukaryota; Metazoa; Arthropoda; Arachnida; Pseudoscorpiones; Chernetidae. The record is from RNAcentral.
UGCAUUGGCCAGGAAUCGAACCCGGGGCGCCCGCGUGGCAGGCGAGCAUUCUACCACUGAACCACCGAUGG